Molecule: long non-coding RNA, 754 nt
Organism: Pezoporus flaviventris
Lineage: Eukaryota; Metazoa; Chordata; Aves; Psittaciformes; Psittacidae
Exons: 3
Source: RefSeq, a predicted model, not a curated record
CCCUGUCUGCAAAAUGCACUUGCCUCUUCUAAAAGGGAUUACCAAAAUGUCAUACUGGAGUGAUCAAAUCAAACCAAACUUCCCAAAGCUUUAUUCCUUUAAAGGGGUUAUAAUCAGCAUGUAUUUUAGGCUGUUUCCUAUUGCCUUGCUCAAGUCUGAGAAACCAAGCAGAGGUGUGAUGCCAUGUGCAGCUCUAAGAGUGAAAAGACAAGCCCAGAUAGUGACCCAAAAAAGAAGACAGAAAUCUAGGCUUAUUUCAUAAACAAAACCAGAGAUGCUGAUGCAGUGGUCCAAAAAAAAAUCUGGGUGUUUAUUGACUUUUAUUUGCUGUAUCCUGUAAACCAAAAUCCACAUUAAAAAUGUCAAAAUGACAGAUUUCAAAAUAUUUUGAUGGCAGUAUUGUCUUCUCGGGACAUAUUUCAGCCACUUCUUGGUUUACUUUGAAUCACAUAAUAGUCAUAAAAAGAACAUGUUUUCCUUGCCCACCAAAAAACGUACCACUACAGGAGGGCAGCCCAUGGGGCCACCUGGAAUCAAGGAGUAGGAUUUUUUGUUGCUUUAUGUACUGGUUUACUCUUUUAUAGGAACAAAGCACUAUUUGAUCCCUGCUUUUUUUCCACUAAAUCUCAUUUGCUCAGAAGUUUAACCCCAUCCAUGUGUUCAGCAGAGGCUUUUACAGCACUAAUAAAAGCAUUUUUCUACAAAGGGUCAAAAACCAUUGCUCUUAAUACAUUUGUGGAUCUGCUUUUGAACA